UGCAGUAGAAGGCAGGAAGGACUUAGCAGCAGUCUUCGCUCCAGGGGAGGAAGGGGAACUUGCCAAUUAUAGGGAAAUUGACAUCGGGCGGUCCAUUAGUUACCAGGGAAACCAGCAGAGGGGCAUGCUCCUACCACCUCUUCCAUAAGAACAAGCACCAGCUGGCUCCUGUAUGUAGGACAAUACCUAGAAGUACUGGGGCAAGUACAUAGGAAGGUCAGCCCUGUGAGUAAGGUGUAGGUGAAGCAGGCAUUGGUUGGCCAGCGGAUGCCCAGAGAGCAAGAGAACAGAUGUCUUCAGUGGCCUGACCAUAUAUAAGACAAAAAGAAAAUCAAUGGUACAACUUCAAGUGAAAACCUCCAGGCACAGAGUGCCUCAUCUGUUUUUCAUCCUAUACUCCUUUCUGGGUGCACUGUUGGUGGUCAGCUGCAGUGGAUUACAACUUAACCCUUGUAGAACUGAGUGAGUAUAAAGAAGAUGCUGAAGCUGAAACUCCAAUACUUUGGCCACCUC
Long non-coding RNA from Cervus elaphus (red deer), 513 nucleotides. RefSeq lists it as uncharacterized. Lineage: Eukaryota; Metazoa; Chordata; Mammalia; Artiodactyla; Cervidae. The transcript has 3 exons. The record is from RefSeq and is a predicted model, not a curated record.